GAGGGGUGGGUGGAGGAAAAUUUCUUGAAUAAGGAGAGAACAUCGUGAUGAAGUAAAACUAAGAUAAAAAUGACAAAGAACAUACAUCCAGUAAUACUGUGAGCUGUAGAAAUGUUUGUGCGCGUUGAAAGAGAGAAAAGGAGGCAGAAUGGCUGGCUGGUGGGGUAGUUAGUAGGUUGCCAUCAUAAAAGUCCAGCCUGAAGUAAAACUAA
RNAcentral lists this non-coding RNA (212 nucleotides) under Licmophora paradoxa. Lineage: Eukaryota; Bacillariophyta; Fragilariophyceae; Licmophorales; Licmophoraceae. The record is from RNAcentral.